GGGCGCAUAGCUCAGUUGGUUAGAGCGCACGGUUCACAUCCGUGAGGUCCUAGGUUCGAGUCCUUGUGCGCCCA
RNAcentral lists this transfer RNA (74 nucleotides) under Anaerolinea sp. Its description in RNAcentral is "tRNA-Val". It matches the Rfam family "tRNA". Rfam says of the family: Transfer RNA (tRNA) molecules are approximately 80 nucleotides in length. RNAcentral also lists the same sequence under 3 other names. Lineage: Bacteria; Bacillati; Chloroflexota; Anaerolineae; Anaerolineales; Anaerolineaceae. The record is from RNAcentral.